AUUUCGGGUCUGCGAGGUGGGGUAGGCGGGCAAGGCGGGCGCCGAGGUUUGCAAGGGCUCGCAGCGGCCAGAAACCCGGCUCCGAGCGGCGGCGGCCCGGCUUCCGCUGCCCGUGAGCUAAGGACGGUCCGCUCCCUCUCGCCAGCUCCGAAUCCGGAUCCAGGCGGGGGCCAGAGGCCCCUCGCCUCCCCUCUGAGGACCGAAGAUGAGCUUCCUCUUGUCCAGUUUCAUUAUUGUCGGUGUUAAAUGCCGCCCCAGGAGAAUGUGCGUUGCCGCAGUUUGAGAAGCUUGAAGUUAAGAUGCUGGCCUUGGAGUCGGAUCGUUCUGUCCAGUUCUGAUUCUGCCCACUUACUGGCUUUGAUUUUAACCAACUUCUCUUGUCCUCGGUAGAAUCCUGUGUUUUUAAUAAUUAUGUAAUAUACCAUACAGCAUUAUUAUAUAGUACAUUGCAGUAUUAUUAUAAAUAAUUUGGAAAGUUAAAAUUAAAACAAAUUCAUAGUCC
Molecule: small RNA, 502 nt
Filed under: Pan troglodytes (chimpanzee)
Lineage: Eukaryota; Metazoa; Chordata; Mammalia; Primates; Hominidae
Description: processed transcript
Source: RNAcentral